This 722-nucleotide ribosomal RNA is filed under the name Tacca subflabellata. Its description in RNAcentral is "eukaryotic LSU rRNA". The stretch from base 266 to 421 matches the Rfam family "5.8S ribosomal RNA". Lineage: Eukaryota; Viridiplantae; Streptophyta; Magnoliopsida; Dioscoreales; Taccaceae. The record is from RNAcentral.
GAGACACGAGAUCGAAGCAAGACGAGCGAACCCGUAAUCGCCGACGACCUCGGAGCGAUGGGGGUGCACGAGCGGCGUCGACCGUGAGGCCACCACGCCAUGCUAUCCCUUCGUUUCGAGCCCCCUCCUCUUCCGCGAAGGACGGGGAUGGGACGACGUACAAACCUGGGCGCGGCAUGCGCCAAGGACGUUUUGAAAUAUGAAGCGGCUGCGCCGCGCUCAACGAGGGCGGCGCCCCGCGUGUGCAAAUCUUGAAGAGCAAAAUGACUCUCGGCAACGGAUAUCUCGGCUCUCGCAUCGAUGAAGAACGUAGCAAAAUGCGAUACUUGGUGUGAAUUGCAGAAUCCCGCGAACCAUCGAGUCUUUGAACGCAAGUUGCGCCCGAGGCCACCAGGCCGAGGGCACGCCUGCCUGGGCGUCACGCCUCAUGUCGCCCCAACCGACGCCCUCCUCCUCGAGGCGAUCGGUCCGGGAGCGGAGAUUGGCCUCCCGUGCCUCCGCGUGCGGCGGGCUGAAGAGCGGGCUGCCGGCGCAUGUCGCGGCGAGACACGACGAGUGGUGGACAUAUGGACGCCGAGCGCGCGAAUUGUGGCCGAAGCGUCGCGGUCUCGUCGCACACCUGUUGCCGAAAUGCCCUCGGGACCUCAUCACGGGCCGAGCCGUGAGCGGGCAAGGCGCUCGACGCCGUCCGUCUCAGGCCGCGAGCCCUCGCGUCGCGACCC